RNAcentral lists this transfer RNA (67 nucleotides) under Picocystis salinarum. It matches the Rfam family "tRNA", at positions 5 to 66 of the family's 71-position model. From Rfam's summary of the family: Transfer RNA (tRNA) molecules are approximately 80 nucleotides in length. Their secondary structure includes four short double-helical elements and three loops (D, anti-codon, and T loops). The record is from RNAcentral. Lineage: Eukaryota; Viridiplantae; Chlorophyta; Picocystophyceae; Picocystales; Picocystaceae.
GUUUGUAGCUUAGUGGAUAAAAGCGUACACUUCCGAAGUGUAAAAACGGGGGUUCGAUUCCCCCCAA